UCCUCCCCCUCCAGCUAUGGCAAAGCCGUCGUCAAACAUCAACCUCGUCUAUGCCUAUUUCUAUCCCUAUUUCUCAACCCAGUCUUUUCCACCUUAACUUACUAUCAAAUCUACCCCAUCAAAACCCUCAUCUCUAAUCUCCUUUACAUCCUCACCGUCUCCAUCCUCUCUCUCUUCGCCACCGGUUCUGUCACCUACAGCGUUUUCCACAGCUUUCACGGUUGACCCGUCAAGCUUUCAUCCUUUAUCAAGGCAGCUUUCACUUCCUUUCUCCCCUCCUCUCAACUUGGCUUGUAACUCAGCUUAUCAUUUAUGGGAUCGGUUUAGUUCUUGGUUUGGCCUUUUUCUCAUUAUUCAAAGCAAUCCAGCUUCUAGGCCCCCAAGUUGAUUGCUGUUCACCUUAUUUCAUUUUCCUUUGUCUUGCUUAUGUGAUCAUCCUCAUGUUUAUCAUGGUUUAUUUGCAAGUGGACUGGAUAUUUGCUUAUGUCAUCGUCGUGGUUGAAUCAAGCUGAGGAUUUGAACUUCUAAACCACUGGUAACACAUCAACAGAAUCUUCACAAUUUCAAACUCUCUUUCUCUGUCUAUUUUUCCUGUAUUCACACUGCCUUUGAUGGUUUUUGAUUCUUUUUUGAACUCUGGAAGCUUAGAAUGACAGAACUUCCUGGGUUUUGUUUUUGUUUGGGUUGCUGAAAUGGAUUUGCUUUGUUAGAGCAGUUUUGUCUUUUGGGAACUACAAUUACAAGGAAAAAAAGCUUGGUUUGUUGAUCUUCUAAAUUAUGUUGAUUUUUACUUAGUGUUUCCUGCAGUUGCUCGCGCUGUUCAUCAGUGCACAAUCUCUUUGUUUUCUGUUUAUUUACUGAUCAACAACAACGCAUGUUCACAAGGGAUUUUUGUUCUGAUGCUACUGGGAACCCGUUUACUAGAUCACCAAAUUCAACUUUCUAUGUGUACUAUGAGGCUGGAGAUAUGCAUCGAAGCAGCUCUUGGAUUACAUUACCUUCACAACGGAGCAAAGCGAGCAAUAGUUCACGGUAACGUUAAGAGCGGAAACAUUCUUUUGGGUUCAACUGGGUUUGCAAGCUUGCCGAAUUCCGGACUUCCAAACUGCGUCCCCGUCGCAAUUCUAAGCCGAAAGCUUCGGAAGAAUAGAUCCAUUAGUGCAGAGUAAUUUAGGGUAUUUGGAUCCCGAGUAUCUGGAAACAGCGCAACUGGAGGAAAAAUGUGAUGUGUACUCAUUUGGGGUUGUUUUGUUUGAAGAGUUGUGUGGUAGAAUGCCAUUUGUGGAGCAUGAUGGGGAGAUGAAGAUGACUCCAGUUGAUCUGCCAUGCCGGUCGAUUAAAGAAAGAACCAUUUAUGAUAUGAUUGAUCCAUUUUUGAAGGGGAGGAUUCCGCCAGAGUGCUUCAAGCUGUUCGUGGACAUCGCCGGUUCAUGUACUCGUGUAGUCGGAGACUCACGGCCUGAGAUGGGUGAAGUGGAGGCGACGCUGGAGCGUGCUUUGGAAUUGCAAGAGAAGGCUGAUUCCAAGCCAAAGCUUAUGGUUU
Molecule: long non-coding RNA, 1543 nt
Organism: Hibiscus syriacus
Lineage: Eukaryota; Viridiplantae; Streptophyta; Magnoliopsida; Malvales; Malvaceae
Exons: 3
Source: RefSeq, a predicted model, not a curated record